UGGGGAAUAUUGCACAAUGGGCGAAAGCCUGAUGCAGCGACGCCGCGUGAGGGAUGACGGCCUUCGGGUUGUAAACCUCUUUCAGCAGGGAAGAAGCGAAAGUGACGGUACCUGCAGAAGAAGCGCCGGCUAACUACGUGCCAGCAGCCGCGGUAAUACGUAGGGCGCAAGCGUUGUCCGGAAUUAUUGGGCGUAAAGAGCUCGUAGGCGGUUAGUCGCGUCUGCUGUGAAAACUCGAGGCUCAACCUCGGGCUUGCAGUGGGUACGGGCUGACUAGAGUGCGGUAGGGGUGACUGGAAUUCCUGGUGUAGCGUGGAAUGCACAGAUAUCAGGAGGAACACCGAUGGCGAAGGCAGGUCACUGGGCCGCAACUGACGCUGAGGAGCGAAAGCAUGGGGAGCGAAGC
This 406-nucleotide ribosomal RNA is filed under the name uncultured bacterium. RNAcentral describes it as "partial 16S ribosomal RNA". It matches the Rfam family "Bacterial small subunit ribosomal RNA", at positions 355 to 774 of the family's 1533-position model. The record is from RNAcentral.